UCAGGACGACGCUGGCGGCGUGCCUAACACAUGCAAGUCGAGCGAGGAGAUUCCUUCGGGAUGAUCCUAGCGGCGGACGGGUGAGUAACACGUGGGCAACCUGCCUCAUAGAGAGGAAUAGCCUUCCGAAAGGGAGAUUAAUACCUCAUAACAUUGCAGUUUCGCAUGGAACAGCAAUUAAAGGAGCAAUCCGCUAUGAGAUGGGCCCGCGGCGCAUUAGCUAGUUGGUGAGGUAACGGCUCACCAAGGCGACGAUGCGUAGCCGACCUGAGAGGGUGAUCGGCCACAUUGGGACUGAGACACGGCCCAGACUCCUACGGGAGGCAGCAGUGGGGAAUAUUGCACAAUGGGGGAAACCCUGAUGCAAGCAACGCCGCGUGAGUGAUGACGGCCUUCGGGUUGUAAAGCUCUGUCUUCAGGGACGAUAAUGACGGUACCUGAGGAGGAAGCCACGGCUAACUACGUGCCAGCAGCCGC
Molecule: ribosomal RNA, 477 nt
Filed under: uncultured bacterium
Lineage: Bacteria
Description: bacterial SSU rRNA
Rfam family: Bacterial small subunit ribosomal RNA
Source: RNAcentral